UACGAAGGGGGCUAGCGUUGUUCGGAAUCACUGGGCGUAAAGCGCACGUGGCGGAUCUUUAAGUCAGGGGUGAAAUCCCGGGGCUCAACCUCGGAACUGCCUUUGAUACUGGGGAUCUCGAGUCCGGGAGAGGUGAGUGGAAUUGCGAGUGUAGAGGUGAAAUUCGUAGAUAUUCGCAAGAACACCAGUGGCGAAGGCGGCUCACUGGCCCGGUACUGACGCUGAGGUGCGAAAGCGUGGGGAGCAAACAGG
Molecule: ribosomal RNA, 252 nt
Filed under: uncultured bacterium
Lineage: Bacteria
Description: partial 16S ribosomal RNA
Rfam family: Bacterial small subunit ribosomal RNA
Source: RNAcentral